GGUAACAGAUAAGAUGAUCUCUUCGGAGUGAAUCUUUGCUGACGAGUGGCGGACGGGUGAGUAAUGCUUGGGAAUCUGCCCAAUAGUGGGGGAAAACUCGGGGAAACCCGGGCUAAUACCGCAUAAUCUCUACGGAGGAAAGAGGGCCUCUACAUGUAAGCUCUCGCUAAUGGAUGAGCCCAAGUCAGAUUAGCUUGUUGGUAAGGUAAUGGCUUACCAAGGCUACGAUCUGUAGCUGGUCUGAGAGGACGACCAGCCACACUGGGACUGAGACACGGCCCAGACUCCUACGGGAGGCAGCAGUGGGGAAUAUUGCACAAUGGGCGCAAGCCUGAUGCAGCAAUGCCGCGUGUGUGAAGAAGGCUCUAGGGUUGUAAAGCACUUUCAAUAGAGAAGAAAAGCUUGAAAUUAAUACUUUCAAGCCUUGACGUAACCUAUACAAGAAGCACCGGCUAAUUCCGUGCCAGCAGCCGCGGUAAUACGGGAGGUGCGAGCGUUAAUCGGAAUUACUGGGCGUAAAGCGAGCGUAGGCUGUUAAUUAAGUCGAAUGUGAAAUCCCCGGGCUCAACCUGGGAACUGCAUCCGAAACUAUUUAACUAGAGUAUGGGAGAGGAAAGUAGAAUUUCCGGUGUAGCGGUGAAAUGCGUAGAUAUCGGAAGGAAUACCAGUGGCGAAGGCGGCUUUCUGGAACAAUACUGACGCUGAGGUUCGAAAGCGUGGGGAGCAAACAGGAUUAGAUACCCUGGUAGUCCACGCCGUAAACGAUGAGAACUAGAUGUUGGGAGGAUUGGCCCUCUCAGUGUCGCAGCUAACGCAAUAAGUUCUCCGCCUGGGGAGUAC
This 840-nucleotide ribosomal RNA is filed under the name uncultured Gammaproteobacteria bacterium. RNAcentral describes it as "bacterial SSU rRNA". It matches the Rfam family "Bacterial small subunit ribosomal RNA", at positions 49 to 883 of the family's 1533-position model. Lineage: Bacteria; Pseudomonadati; Pseudomonadota; Gammaproteobacteria. The record is from RNAcentral.